RNAcentral lists this ribosomal RNA (276 nucleotides) under uncultured bacterium. Its description in RNAcentral is "partial 16S ribosomal RNA". It matches the Rfam family "Bacterial small subunit ribosomal RNA", at positions 1105 to 1382 of the family's 1533-position model. The record is from RNAcentral.
UUGUCAUUAAUUGCCAUCAUUCAGUUGGGCACUUUAAUGAGACUGCCGGUGACAAACCGGAGGAAGGUGGGGAUGACGUCAAGUCCUCAUGGCCCUUAUGGGUAGGGCUUCACACGUAAUACAAUGGUCGGUACAGAGGGUAGCCAACCCGCGAGGGGGAGCCAAUCCCAGAAAGGCGAUCGUAGUCCGGAUUGGAGUGCGCAACUAGACUCCAUGAAGUCGGAAUCGCUAGUAAUCGCGGAUCAGCAUGUCGCGGUGAAUACGUUCCCGGGCCUU